Molecule: ribosomal RNA, 268 nt
Filed under: uncultured bacterium
Lineage: Bacteria
Description: partial 16S ribosomal RNA
Rfam family: Bacterial small subunit ribosomal RNA
Source: RNAcentral
AGCGAACGCUGGCGGCAGGCUUAACACAUGCAAGUCGAGCGCCCAGCAAUGGGAGCGGCAGACGGGAUAGUAACACGUGGGAACGUACCUUUCAGUUCGGAACAACCCAGGGAAACUUGGGCUAAUACCGAAUACGUCCGUAAGGAGAAAGAUUUAUCGCUGAAAGAUCGGCCCGCGUCUGAUUAGCUAGUUGGUGAGGUAAUGGCUCACCAAGGCGACGAUCAGUAGCUGGUCGAGAGGAUGAUCAGCAUCACUGGGACUGAGACAC